CAUGUUUGAGCCUCUAGUCUCAGUGAUUAUCCAGGGUUUGCAUCAACUCUAAAAUUCUAAGAUCAUUGGUGUGGAAAGGAAAUAAGACUGACAGUUUGUGGGGGAAGGGGCCAAUUGGGAGUGGCAGCUGGGUCUUGUGACUAGCACUUCCUUCCUGCUGUGUGGGACUUGCUUCCGGGUGUUGGAGGAGGAAGGAGCUUGUUCAGCCCGGUCUGGUGUGGUGUGCCGCCUCUUCUUGGUUCAGCCUGAAGAUUCAGGUCCAUUCAUCUCUGAAGAUGAAUAACAUUCUUUGACAUACACUCUUCAGAAUUGUUCUGGAUCAUUGCAUUGCUGAGAGUAACUCCAUCAGUUGCUGAUCACCAUUCUUACUUGAUAUUAUAUAGCUAUA
RNAcentral lists this long non-coding RNA (388 nucleotides) under Monodelphis domestica (gray short-tailed opossum). Its description in RNAcentral is "lncRNA (ENSMODG00000036959.1)". Lineage: Eukaryota; Metazoa; Chordata; Mammalia; Didelphimorphia; Didelphidae. The record is from RNAcentral.